UGGAAAGGAACGAAAGUUCAUGGAAGCGUAUGGCAGUCGCACAUUUUUUUGUAAACAAAUCGAUCCUUUCACGUGUGAGUAACAUUCUCAAAAGAUUACUUUUCUGGUGGUUAUUUUUUUCGAGUCAUUCCUACAAAUUUUCCUCUAGAAAACUCCAUUGAAGGUACCAAAGUAAUUACUGAGUGAAUAAUAGCAAAACAAACAAUAAAAUUAAAUUAUGUUAAGAGCCCAAAGCCUUAUCUGCUUGUCUUCUUCUUCUUCUUCGAGCUCAUCUACCAUUCUCGAGGUUCAGGCGAGGAAUUCUCGAGUUGUUCCUUCGAAUUGAUUCCGGUUCUGAACAAUCUAAUCAUGGCAAUGCAUUCCCAUUGAGCAAACCAGCUAGUACAUAGCAGGUAUUGUUCGUUUAGGAAAAAAUUAAGCUUUAAGCUCGCCAUCGAUUCUCCGAGCCCACUCGCCUCUCUCGCCUCUCGGGUUGAAUCGAACACGUAUCAUGAACGCUUCAUUUUGCUGUAAUAACAUUCAACAACAUCCACAACUCUUUAAAGUUCAACACCCAAGCUCCUCCCUGAGGGGAAGAAACCCUAUUCAAUGGUCAUCUGCUGUUAUUCAGACGGCGGAGAGCGAAGUGGCAACUGAGGAAGCUGCGUCCCAAUCGGAAUCUGUUGCUCGUCGCCUUAUUCUGCUUCGUCAUGCUAGGAGUUCACGGCAAAAACUGUCAGUGCGAGAUCAUGAUCGCCCCUUGAGUAAAGAUGGAAAAGUUGAUGCUAUUAAAAUUGCUCAUAAACUCCAAGAAUUGAGUUGGAUCCCUGAACUUAUUUUAUCCAGUGAUGCCAAGCGAACCAGAGAAACACUUAAGCUAAUGCAGGAGCAAGUUAGUGGUUUUUUGGAAGCAGAGGUUCAUUUCAUUUCCAGUUUUUAUUCUAUCGCUGCCAUGGAUGGUCAGACUGCGGAUCACCUUCAGCAGGUUAUCUGUAACUAUUCAAGGAAUGAGAUAGUUACAGUCAUGUUGGAGGUUGGAUCUUCCAUCCCUUCAGUUAUUGUACAGAAAAGAACGGAAAAGAAAAAGAGCAAGUAGAAAGGGAGAAGGGGAACUGUUGUCACUGUCAUCCUUAAUUUUGAGUUUGUUUUGCUAAUACAUAAUUUUCUAAUAGGUUAGGUCACAGAAUGUUUUCUAUACUUGUUGUUAUUGUAUAGACUAUUCAAUACUGCAUUUUUAGUCUUCUCUCAUGUCAGCACUCCUUCAUUUUAAGAAUGAAAUUUAGCGUAGAAAUCUUCCAACAAAAUCAAUAUUUUUUGUUCAAACCUCCAAAAAAACAUGUGUCGUGGUUUCUAACAAGGAAUAAUGAAAUAAUAGGGGAAAUAGUAAGACAACAAUGAUUUUUAUGCAGGUGUAUGGGACAUAAUAAAGGGUGGGAAGAGGCAGCCUCAAUGUUCAGUGGUUCCUCCAUAAAACUGAAGACAUGUAAUGCUGCUUUGCUUGAGGCUUCAGGAAAAUCAUGGGAUGAGGCAUUUGCUUUGGCGGGACUAGGUGGAUGGAAGCUUCAUGGCAUAGUAAAACCAAAUAGUAGAUCGUAGAACAUUUUAUAGUUUUCUAGAAAAGUUUAGCAAAUUAUAGUAACCACUUGUAGUACUCGAAUUCACCCUUAGAAUGCUCAUUUAUCUAUAUAUGAUAACUUCAAUGAAAUUUCGACUUCUUGUCUUUUAAA
RNA transcript from Cucumis sativus (cucumber), 1706 nucleotides. RefSeq lists it as uncharacterized. The record is from RefSeq and is a predicted model, not a curated record. The transcript is spliced from 5 exons. NCBI's taxonomy places the organism in Eukaryota, Viridiplantae, Streptophyta, Magnoliopsida, Cucurbitales, Cucurbitaceae.